AGUGGCGGACGGGUGAGUAACGCGUGAGAAUCUGGCUUCAGGUUCGGGACAACAGUUGGAAACGACUGCUAAUACCGGAUAAGCCUAAGGGUGAAAGAUUAAUUGCCUGAAGAUGAGCUCGCGUCCGAUUAGUUAGUUGGUGUGGUAAAGGCGCACCAAGGCAGCGAUCGGUAGCUGGUCUGAGAGGACGAUCAGCCACACUGGGACUGAGACACGGCCCAGACUCCUACGGGAGGCAGCAGUGGGGAAUUUUCCGCAAUGGGCGAAAGCCUGACGGAGCAAUACCGCGUGAGGGAGGAAGGCUCUUGGGUUGUAAACCUCUUUUCUCAAGGAAUAAGAUUGAAGGUACUUGAGGAAUAAGCAUCGGCUAACUCCGUGCCAGCAGCCGCGGUAAUACGGAGGAUGCAAGCGUUAUCCGGAAUGAUUGGGCGUAAAGCGUUCGUAGGUGGUUAUCCAAGUCGGCUGUUAAAGAGUCUGGCUUAACCAGAUAAGGGCAGUGGAAACUGGAAGACUAGAGUAUGGUAGGGGUAGAGGGAAUUCCUGGUGUAGCGGUGAAAUGCGUAGAGAUCAGGAAGAACACCGGUGGCGAAAGCGCUCUACUGGACCGAGACUGACACUGAGGGACGAAAGCUAGGGGAGCGAAUGGGAUUAGAUACCCCAGUAGUCCUAGCCGUAAACGAUGGAUACUAGGCGUUG
RNAcentral lists this ribosomal RNA (696 nucleotides) under uncultured Nostocales cyanobacterium. Its description in RNAcentral is "bacterial SSU rRNA". It matches the Rfam family "Bacterial small subunit ribosomal RNA", at positions 94 to 825 of the family's 1533-position model. Lineage: Bacteria; Bacillati; Cyanobacteriota; Cyanophyceae; Nostocales. The record is from RNAcentral.